RNAcentral lists this ribosomal RNA (253 nucleotides) under uncultured bacterium. Its description in RNAcentral is "partial 16S ribosomal RNA". It matches the Rfam family "Bacterial small subunit ribosomal RNA", at positions 524 to 776 of the family's 1533-position model. The record is from RNAcentral.
UACGUAGGUGGCAAGCGUUGUCCGGAUUUAUUGGGUUUAAAGGGUGCGUAGGUGGGUUAGUAAGUCAGUGGUGAAAUCUCCGAGCUUAACUUGGAAACUGCCAUUGAUACUAUUAAUCUUGAAUACCGUGGAGGUCAGCGGAAUAUGUCAUGUAGCGGUGAAAUGCUUAGAUAUGACAUAGAACACCAAUUGCGAAGGCAGCUGGCUACACGAAUAUUGACACUGAGGCACGAAAGCGUGGGGAUCAAACAGG